UUGUUUUUGUGUUACAUAUAGUUGGUCACAUGCCCGAUAAUUAGUUGUGAUUAACUUUCAGUUUUUAGCAUGGAAUGCCGAGCUUGACAAAUAUUGCAUGCUGUUAACUUGCCCUUGUUCUCCUGUAGUGCUGAUAAAGCUUGUGAUAUCCAUGCACCUCAGUCUCGAAAUAUUGCUUGCUGCAGUGACGCGUCUCCUCCUCUUUAUGCAAUAUCAUCGUCAUGGAUGAAGUGCAUUAAAAGAUUCAUCAAUGCUGAAGCUUUGUGUUGAAGAAGGUUGUUGCACAACGAAGGGAUUUUAAGCUAAUUGUCACAUCUGCAACUAUAAAUGCAAAUCUUUGGAGGGUAAGUUAACUUGUUAUUUUUUCAAUGGUUAAGAUUAGUUUCCAUUGUCUUUCUCCGCAUACCCUAUAAUUAUUUCAUUUUGUUUGCACUGUACCUAUAUUUAGCAUUUCAUGCAGGUCAUUUCCAGCAAAUAUCUUGUUCAGCAAAGCACCCCGUGAUGAUUAUGUGCAAGCGUAUGUGAAUCUUCAAUAUAUUGAAUAAGGUUUUUAUUGCUGAGAGAUAUUAACUUGGAUUUGUAAAGAUUAUCAACGGGAGUCAUAUGUACUUAAAAGUUUGGAAAGUACUUUUCAGAAUUGCUUAUCCACCCUCAGCGUGCUCCUGUUUUAUUUGUAUUUCAGGAAGUUGCCAGUUAGGGGCCAGUGUCCAAGCCUCAGUGUGUUGAACGGCAAUUCACCCUGGCAUUUGUUGUCAUUCCUGCUGGUCCAGGUACCGCUGGCUCAAAAGUGCGUUUUCAGCAGGCUACCCAUUUCAUGAUGAUUAGAACAAGGCUCUACCAUGUUCAAUCUAAAUAUCAGUGGGAUUCUUACCUGCAUAUUUUAUGAAACGAGAGUUGGCAAUGAAUGUCGAGAUGCUUAAUUAUGUGUUUGGUAAGAUGCCAUAGCUUCGUAAGUUGUUUGUACUGUGUUAAUUAUGUUUGUUUCUUCACUCUGAAGGGUCAUCAUGUCCUUAGUAGAUGUGAGAACAAAAUUAUAACUUGGAGCUUUAGAAGAACCUAAACUAAUAUUCUUACUGACAGAAGUUUCAGAGAUUGAAUAGUGAGCUUAUUGAUUACAAUUGGAUAGAAUAUAUAUUGCUUGGUGUUAUGCUGAGUUAUAACUUAUAAGUGUUUGAAAUAUGCCCUAAUAAGUUUUUAGGAUGCACGUGUCUUUCAAUCCUAUCAUAAAUCGAUGCAAACAGAGAAGGAUUAAAACAAUAUUUUCGUUAUUGGGAAUUUUAAGUGCCAUCUGCUCUCAUACUUCUCACAUGAAAGCUUGAAGAAAAUCUGAAAAAGGCUCCCUUGUUGGAAACUCGGCUUUUACUUUUUAGAAAUACUUAUAUACAAUAGGACUCACUAACGUGUUGGUAUCCUGGUUAAACAUAAUGAGGUUUCACUUUUCAGAAUUAAAAGAAAAUAUCUACCAUCAAGGACUUAAAAUAGUAGAACGUUCCUCUUUUUAAAUUUGGCCAUACUUUCACCAUCGUUAUUUCUGGUCCAGGUACCUAUCAACUUAAGCAUUCUCGCGGUGAUAUUACUUUUAAUUUUUUUAGUUUUCUUGCAAGUUAAAUUUCUACCAUGAAUCGGGUUUGUCUUCCUUUUGCAUAUUUCUGCCAGUGUGGAGGUCAUGUGCAGAGAUGGAGGCAUCCAUGGGCAUGUCUACGGCUAGGAAGCCAGUGAUGCUAUGAAGCAGUCAACCCGUCUUUUGCAUGAAGCAUGUAAACAUGUGUAUUCGUUGUUCAUUCCAACAUAUAUCUACCUAAGACCCCAGUACACCUAUACAUUUUUAAAUAUUUGCGUAUUUUCUUUAUUUAACUUAUCUUCAUGACUAUUAUAUAAAGUAAUCUAUAUGUCCAUGGCACGGGACACCUACAACAUGCUAUGCCAGGGGAGCACGAACUGGAGCGUGAACACCCCAUCUAGGACUCCUUCGCAACCCUUAAAUGCAAAAUAUUUUGCUGGUUGGCGACACGAUACGGGUUUUGGACCUCGGAUCGUAGAGCGAGGCAUGGCUUGCAAGAACACCCAGACGUUUGCUUCACCUGUCUCCAGGACGAGGAUAAUGUGGAUCACAUUCUGGUUCAACGCCCUUACGCAAGGCAAGUCAGGCUAGGCUGCUUUUCUAGGGUGCAGCUGCAGAUAUAGGGACCGCAAGAGGGAGAUAACCUGGAGCGGUGGUGGACCGAAUCUAGGAAACGAGUGCAUAGGAUUGACAGGAGAUUCAACUCUUUGAUCAUCUGGUGGCAUGGACCAUCUGGAAGCAGAGUAGUGCGAGAGUGUUCAAUAACACUGAACAAUAACUGAACUCAGAGCAGAUAACAGACCAGAUUGGAGAAGAGUUUCAGUUAUGGGAGCUAGCUAGGAGAGGAGGGAGCAACAAUCAACCAUGAGAGUAGGCUUUAGUAGGAAGGGUGUUCUUGUGUGUGUUCUAGGAAUGUGUCUCCGUGUGCAUUGGCCCCCGGAUUCUUGUAAUUACUAUGUUUCUUCUUCUAUAAAGAUAAAGCACACUUUGGGUGUGCUCCCGAAAAAAUGUACUCUUCAUAAGUUCAUUUUUUUAUCAAAAUGUCAAUUUAUCAGUUGUCCGUUUCGGUUGUAAUGUCUUUUUCAUCAAUCUUAGUGAUUCUUCUCUAAUUUUUGGAUGAUCUGCUCUAAACUCCAGGCUUAUGUUAAACCUGAUGCAGCUUGUGGCAUAUUAAACCUGAUGCAGCUUGUGGCCUGUGAUGUUUUGUUAUCAACCGUAAAUAUUUAGUUUAUGCAAUGUAAUUCUUCUGAAUUAUUUGAGAGCUGCAAAUGAUUUUUGUAUCUCGCAAGACCGUCGAAAAGGUACCUUGUGUGUUUUAGGUACGAUGGUGGCCAAAUGGGGUUUGGGACAAGAGGUGAGGCUGGAUGGAGCUUUGAGGACCUCCGGUUUGGCGGCAACUUACGACUAUCAUGGGUUAAGCCAGUAUAGGACUUUCAGCAGAUUUGUUCGGAGAUUUCCAUCGAGCCAGGCAUCAUGUCCGUGUGGCCACAAUUGUAGAGAUCUCCCACUUGGCAUAUCCAAUCCAUGGUCUCGAACGGACGGCCACGGCGACGAUGGUGCAGCGUCGGUGUCUGACGAUGAGCCUACUAGGUGUGGUUUCUGAAGGACGCCGAAUGCGGAACUGCGGUGGUCCUCACACCGGUGAUGGAGCGGCAGGGGAGGGACCGGUCUUCUCAAGAGAGUGGUGGAGCUCGAUAAAGUGGGUGAUCUCGAGAGAUUGAGGAGGCAGUCAGCUUUACACCCUUUACAUUACUUUUCUACAAAAGGUUUCCAGAAAAAAAAAAUUGUUAGCCUUUUCCGCAGUACCUUGUCAGUGAAGGUCGCUUCGCUGCAGCAGUAGGGAAGGGGAGAAACUUGCGGCAGCAGUGGCAGGUAGUGGAGGAGCAGGUCCUCUCGCUAGCGGCGGGGAGGCAGAUAAGGGGGCGGCAUAGGCACCGGCGACAGGGACACAAUGGAAGGGAUGGUCGACGCGGUUGUACGAGGGAAAGAGAAGAUAGUGGCAGAGGUUGAGAGUGUUAUGUAUCCGGUUCGUGCUGUCAUUUUCUUUUCUUUCCGUAAUCCAUAGUAGUGCAUACACCUCUUCUUUAUUUUCUUCUCUACAGUGUAGCAAUGAAAUGAGCUACUUCAUCAAUUUAUACACUUCUCAGCAAUGAAGUGAGCUACUUCAUCAAUUUAUACACUUCUCAGUAUUG
Long non-coding RNA from Lolium perenne, 3753 nucleotides. RefSeq lists it as uncharacterized. NCBI's taxonomy places the organism in Eukaryota, Viridiplantae, Streptophyta, Magnoliopsida, Poales, Poaceae. The record is from RefSeq and is a predicted model, not a curated record.